AAGAAAGUCAUAGAGGUUAUGUGGUUGGCUUGAAACCGAUUAAUGGAGGUUCGAUUCCUUCCUUUCUUG
RNAcentral lists this transfer RNA (69 nucleotides) under Ochotona thibetana (Moupin pika). RNAcentral's name for it is "tRNA-Ser". It matches the Rfam family "tRNA". From Rfam's summary of the family: Transfer RNA (tRNA) molecules are approximately 80 nucleotides in length. Their secondary structure includes four short double-helical elements and three loops (D, anti-codon, and T loops). Further hydrogen bonds mediate the characteristic L-shaped molecular structure. tRNAs have two regions of fundamental functional importance: the anti-codon, which is responsible for specific mRNA codon recognition, and the 3' end, to which the tRNAs corresponding amino acid is attached (by aminoacyl-tRNA synthetases). tRNAs cope with the degeneracy of the genetic code in two manners: having more than one tRNA (with a specific anti-codon) for a particular amino acid; and 'wobble' base-pairing, i.e. permitting non-standard base-pairing at the 3rd anti-codon position. The record is from RNAcentral. Lineage: Eukaryota; Metazoa; Chordata; Mammalia; Lagomorpha; Ochotonidae.